Molecule: RNA transcript, 1692 nt
Organism: Vigna angularis (adzuki bean)
Lineage: Eukaryota; Viridiplantae; Streptophyta; Magnoliopsida; Fabales; Fabaceae
Exons: 8
Source: RefSeq, a predicted model, not a curated record
CAAUGAAAAUGUGUUAAACAACCCAACUCAUACGAAAGUUGCAUUGUAUCUAUCGCUCAGCAUCCGCACCCAAACCAUGAGAAAUCGCAGCCUUUAUGCAUCGCUGGUUUCACUUUUUUGCUUCGUCGUUCUUAUGAUCGUAACCCCAGCCAUUCCUCAGUCCCAAGAGUAUCAUAAUUUCGCUGACCACCGCAAAUUCUUCGGUAUUACUAAUGCACUUAAUGUGAUAUCAAAUUUCCCUUUUCUGGUUAUUGGUCUCGUUGGACUUGUACUCUGUUAUCAUGGAAACUACUUUAGACUCAGCUUGCAAGGUGAAAUAUGGGGUUGGACUUGCUUCUAUGUUGGUGUGGCUGCUGUUGCAGUUGGAUCUUCAUACUAUCAUCUCAAGCCAGAUGAUGCUCGCCUUGUCUGGGAUAGGCUCCCAAUGACUGUUGCUUUCACAUCCAUCAUUGCAAUAUUCAUCAUUGAGCGGAUUGAUGAGAGGAAGGGAACGGUUUCAAUUAUACCUCUACUUUUGGCUGGUAUAAUAAGCAUUGUGUAUUGGAGGUUCUUUGAUGACCUUCGUCCAUAUGCUCUGGUCCAGUUUGUGCCUUGCAUUGCCAUUCCUAUAAUGGCUAUUUUGUUACCUCCAAUGUACACACAUUCAACAUAUUGGCUCUGGGCUGCAGGGUUUUAUCUUUUAGCGAAAGUGCUAGAAGCUACUGAUGAGGUGAUCUAUGGAUGGACACACCAUAUUGUCAGUGGUCACACACUUAAGCAUCUAGCUGCAGCAAUGGUACCUGUAUUCUUAACAUUCAUGCUUGCUAAAAGGAAUGUUGAACCUGAGAGACAAAAUUUGCUUAAAACUUGGAGGGUUUCUUGGAUGAAGUUUAGAGAGGGCAACUUCAACAUUGGGAGCUACUCUUACUCAGGCGUGGCAGUUGUGGAGACAUAGUAUGAUGUUACUUUCCCAUACAACAAAAUAAAGGGGUAUACUGGAUUACCUAAUAUUGUUAAGCUUGAAUGUGGACCAGCUUUUGUUUCAGGGCUUGAAUUUCAACAUUGGGGUUUGAAAUACACCUAUAUGGGCCUCAACCUUUGUCUCCAACUUCACCUUUAGUGCCACCUUUGGUCCUCCUCAAUCUUUGAUCUAUUCCUCUAAGCCCGGGAAAGUGCUACAUACAACAUGCCACAACCAAAUGUUGUAGACAAAUCAAUGUGGAUUCCCUCAAGAGUCAUUCCUUGACACUUGUAAAUGCUAAUAGACCAUGCCGAUAUCUGCGUUGUGCAUGAUACAACUUCAGGUCCAUCCAUUAUAUCCUACAUUGCUGGCUUAAUUGCCACAAAUUUCCCUCCAUUCAUAAGCAGCACUUUAGCAUGUCCAAAUUAUAUACCAACUGAUAGCAACCCUCCAAGCAAAGGUGAUCCAAAGCUAGAAGAGAAGCUAGGGUGUUUGGUUCCUUAGAUGGAGUUUGCGGAAUAUGGUGGGCAAAGGACAAGGACAAUGAGGAAACUAUGGUUGCAAGGGAGAAGGCUCGCGAUCUUAGGUGGUUAUAUGGUAGGGAGAAGACUCAAAGAAAUGCUAGGUCAAUUCUAAGAAGAAGGUGAUUAGAAGGAUAUCAUGGUUGCUCUAGUUUUGAUUUUGAAUUUUUCAAACUAUAUAUGUAUUGUAAUAAAAAAAGAUUAUAUUCUAAUUUUUUUUUUUUACUUUCA